CCUACGGGGGGCAGCAGUGGGGAAUAUUGCACAAUGGGGGAAACCCUGAUGCAGCGACGCCGCGUGAAGGAAGAAGUAUUUCGGUAUGUAAACUUCUAUCAGCAGGGAAGAAAAUGACGGUACCUGACUAAGAAGCCCCGGCUAACUACGUGCCAGCAGCCGCGGUAAUACGUAGGGGGCAAGCGUUAUCCGGAUUUACUGGGUGUAAAGGGAGCGUAGACGGCAAUGCAAGUCUGGAGUGAAAGGCGGGGGCCCAACCCCCGGACUGCUCUGGAAACUGUAUAGCUGGAGUGCAGGAGAGGUAA
Molecule: ribosomal RNA, 305 nt
Filed under: uncultured bacterium
Lineage: Bacteria
Description: bacterial SSU rRNA
Rfam family: Bacterial small subunit ribosomal RNA
Source: RNAcentral